Molecule: ribosomal RNA, 181 nt
Filed under: Escherichia coli
Lineage: Bacteria; Pseudomonadati; Pseudomonadota; Gammaproteobacteria; Enterobacterales; Enterobacteriaceae
Description: partial 23S ribosomal RNA
Rfam family: Bacterial large subunit ribosomal RNA
Source: RNAcentral
UAAAUGCGGAAGAGAUAAGUGCUGAAAGCAUCUAAGCACGAAACUUGCCCCGAGAUGAGUUCUCCCUGACCCUUUAAGGGUCCUGAAGGAACGUUGAAGACGACGACGUUGAUAGGCCGGGUGUGUAAGCGCAGCGAUGCGUUGAGCUAACCGGUACUAAUGAACCGUGAGGCUUAACCUU